GAUGAAGAACGUAGCGAAAUGCGAUAAGUAAUGUGAAUUGCAGAAUUCAGUGAAUCAUCGAGUCUUUGAACGCACAUUGCGCCCCCUGGUAUUCCGGGGGGCAUGCCUGUCCGAGCGUCAUUGCUGCCCUCAAGCACGGCUUGUGUGUUGGGCCCCGCCCCCGGGCUCCCGGGGGGCGGGCCCGAAAGGCAGCGGCGGCACCGCGUCCGGUCCUCGAGCGUAUGGGGCUUCGUCACCCGCUCCGUAGGCCCGGCCGGCGCCCGCCGGCGACCCCCCUCAAUCUUUUCAGGUUGACCUCGGAUCAGGUAGGGAUACCCGCUGAACUUAAGCAUAUCAAUAAGCGGAGGA
This 348-nucleotide unclassified non-coding RNA is filed under the name soil metagenome. RNAcentral describes it as "partial contains 5.8S ribosomal RNA, internal transcribed spacer 2, and large subunit ribosomal RNA". The stretch from base 1 to 120 matches the Rfam family "5.8S ribosomal RNA", at positions 35 to 154 of the family's 154-position model. The record is from RNAcentral.